GGAGGAGUGGCAGAGCGGCUGAAUGCGCCGGUUUUGAAAGCCGGUAGGCCCGCAAGGGUCUCGUGGGUUCGAAUCCCUCCUCCUCCG
Molecule: transfer RNA, 87 nt
Filed under: Planctomycetota bacterium
Lineage: Bacteria; Pseudomonadati; Planctomycetota
Description: tRNA-Ser
Rfam family: tRNA
About the family: Transfer RNA (tRNA) molecules are approximately 80 nucleotides in length.
Source: RNAcentral